This 497-nucleotide ribosomal RNA is filed under the name uncultured bacterium. RNAcentral's name for it is "partial 16S ribosomal RNA". It matches the Rfam family "Bacterial small subunit ribosomal RNA", at positions 28 to 507 of the family's 1533-position model. The record is from RNAcentral.
GAUGAACGCUGGCGGCGUGCCUAAUACAUGCAAGUCGAGCGAACAGACGAGGAGCUUGCUCCUCUGACGUUAGCGGCGGACGGGUGAGUAACACGUGGAUAACCUACCUAUAAGACUGGGAUAACUUCGGGAAACCGGAGCUAAUACCGGAUAAUAUAUUGAACCGCAUGGUUCAAUAGUGAAAGACGGUUUUGCUGUCACUUAUCGAUGGAUCCGCGCCGCAUUAGCUAGUUGGUAAGGUAACGGCUUACCAAGGCAACGAUGCGUAGCCGACCUGAGGGGGUGAUCGGCCACCCUGGAACUGAGCCACGGUCCAGACUCCUACGGGACGCCGCAGUAGGGAAUCUUCCGCAGUGGGCGAAAGCCUGACGGAGCAACGCCGCGUGAGUGAUGAAGGUCUUCGGAGCGUAAAGCUCUGUUAUUAGGGAAAAACAAAUGUGUAAGUAACUAUGCACGUCUUGACGGUACCUAAUCAGAAAGCCACGGCUAACUACGUG